GUUAGGCCCCCCGUCCACUUCACCUAUUCUAGAAGAUUCAAGAAGGGGGGAAAAUCAGCUGGCACAAGGGAUAACUAAAUUCUGUUUAGGAGCAUGUGGGGAGGGGAAUAAGUUUGUUAGAAACAGGUUAUAAAUAGGGGGGCUUAAGGUAAAGAUAGCAGGCAAUUAUUAAGUAAGGCAUAGGAGUCCCGUAUUAGUCCAUUUACUUGUAAUUUCUGCAAUAUAUCCGAAUUAAUUUCCAUUUCAGAUUGAGUGUUCUUUUGGAAUCCUAUCAAAUUGGUAUCAAAGCAACAAAAUCCUGAUGGCCCAAAAGAAAACCGAUGGAAGGGUAGAAGCAAUGGAAAAAGAAAUCGAAGAAUUGAAGGGUGAAAUGCGGCAGCUCCCGGGGUUAGCAAAAUCUGUAGAACAGUUAACUCAAAGCAUGGCCAUGAUACUACAAUCCAUGGAGGAAACUAGAAGGACAGUGGUGACUAUGGCGAACCCAAAAACUUGAACAGGCAGAAAUAUGGAGAAAGAAGGAUCCAGCAAUGUUACCGAGGCAUUACUGCCACCAAGUAACCCUCCGGCAAGCAAGGGCGAACAAUGCAGUCUAGAGCGUGGUAAAUGGCCAGAGGGAACAGGCGAGGCAAGUUUCGGCGGAAGCUUGGACAGAGGUGAAAAUUGGCGAAGCAUUCGAAAACUCGAGAUGCCCAUUUUCAGCGGAGUAGACCCGGACGGAUGGUUAUUCAGGGCCGAAAGAUAUUUUGACAUUAAUGGCCUCACUGAGCAGGAGAAACUGGGGGCGAUAGGGGUGAGCCUCGACGAUGACGCACUUUCCUGGCUUCAAUGGACGGAGGCUCGAGCUCCGUUUCAAAACUGGUGACAGUUCAGACAGUAGCUGUUGCUGCGUUUCCGGCCGACGCAGGAGGGUAGCAUUUGUGUGAGGUUUCUGGCGAUCAAACAAAGGGACACGGUGGCUGAGUUCCGGCGGGAGUUCGAAGUAUUGGCUGCCCCGCUAAAGGAGAUACCAGACGAAGUGAUAGAAAGCACUUUUGUUAAUGGGCUCAAGCCAGAAAUAAGGGCCGAAAUCAGGAUACUGGGGCCAAAAGGAUUGGGCCAGAUUAUGGGGUUGGCCCAAAAAGUGGAAGACCGUAACUCCAUAAUCAAGGAAGUAAAGGACCCAACAGCCCACAGGAUCCCCAAAAUACUCCCAAAUCGUUGGAAGCCAAAGUCGACUUUCCCUAUCAAAACUGUCACGAUGGGGGAGAAGCCGGUCGACGACCGGCGCGAACGUCCGACCAAGCGUAUGUCGGACGCGGAAUGGCAGAUGAGGCGCGACAGGGGGCUUUGCUUCUGAUGUGAUGAGAAGUUUACCGUGGGUCACCAGUGCAAGAAUCGCAAGCUACGGAUUUUGUUGGUUGAAGGGGAGGAUGACGAAGAAACCGUUGAUGAUUCGGAGGCGGCACGACCAUUCGAAGUAGCAGAUAAGGUAGAACUAUCAUUAAACUCGGUGGUUGGGCUAACUACCCCAGGCAUCAUGAAAUUGAAGGGGAAGGUAGGCUCAAGUAUAGUAACUGUGCUAAUCGAUUGUGGGGCAACCCACAAUUUUAUAUCCGUAGAUGUUGUCCAGAAGAUGGAAAUUCCAACCACAGCAACAACGAAUUAUGGGGUGGUGAUGGGAACGGGCAAGUCAGUGAAGGGAAGGGGAAUCUGUAAAGGUGUGGUUUUGGAAUUGCAGGGCUUGACUGUAGUCGAAGAUUUCUUACCUUUGGAGUUAGGAAAUACAGACGUGGUUCUUGGGAUGCAAUGGCUGGGGAGUUUGGGUAAUAUGGAAGUGAACUGGAAACUUCUCACCAUGAGAUUUCGAAUCGGCGAGACUUUGAUGACGUUAAAAGGGGACCCAGGACUUAAUAAAUCUAGGGUCUCGUUAAGGGCCAUGGUGAAAGCAUUACAAAAUGAAGGGCAGGGAAUCUGGGUAGAGUAUGACGAGCCAACUACUGAGAUGGGAGAUAGGGUGGAGUUGCCCAAGGGAGUACAGACGUUAUUACAGACACACCAGCAGGUGUUUAAAGAGCCACAGGGGUUACCACCCAACCGAGACAUAGAUCAUUCAAUUCUAUUAAAGGAGGGAGUUGAACCAAUUAGUGUCAGGCCUUUCCGAUAUCCCCAUAUCCAGAAAAACGAGAUUGAACGACUGGUUCGAGAGAUGUUAAAUGCUGGGAUUAUUCAGCCCAGUGUCAGCCCCUUCUCUAGCCCCGUACUACUCGUCAAGAAAAAAGAUGGUAGUUGGCGGUUUUGCGUAGAUUACAGAGCUUUAAAUAAAGUGACGGUCCCAGAAAAGUUUCCCAUUCCCAUGAUCAAUGAGUUAUUGGAUGAGCUCCAUGGAGCUACUGUAUUCUCUAAACUUGACCUCAAGUCGGGAUAUCACCAAAUCAGAGUCAGAAAGGAGGAUGUUCAUAAGACUGCAUUUAGGACGCAUGAGGGACAUUAUGAGUUCCUUGUCAUGCCUUUUGGUCUCUCCAACGCACCGGCAACGUUCCAAUCAUUAAUGAAUCAGAUUUUCAGGGCCUAUUUAAGGAAGUUCGUGCUGGUUUUCUUCGACGACAUUUUAGUCUAUAGUAAAGAUAUCCCUACGCAUGAGCAACACUUGGAGAUGGUGUUUACUUCUCUGGCCGCCCAUCAGCUGUAUGCAAAUGCGAAGAAGUGCAUCUUCGCCCAACGGCAGAUUGAAUACUUGGGCCACUUGGUGUCAGCCGAAGGAGUGGCGGCCGAACCAAACAAAAUAGAAGCAAUGGUGCAUUGGCCUACCCCCCGCAAUCUCAGAGAAUUAAGGGGCUUCUUGGGCUUGACUGGCUACUACAGAAGAUUUGUGGCAGGUUAUGGGGCAAUAUCUUGGCCACUGACCCAACAACUCAAGAAGGACGCCUUUGGAUGGAAUGGGGAGGCAGAAACAGCAUUCCAGAAACUGAAAUCAGCUAUGACGACGGUCCUUGUCUUAGCCCUUCCCGAUUUCUCUAAGGCCUUCAUCAUCGAAGCAGAUGCUUCAGGCCACGGUUUGGGAGCAGUACUCAUGCAAGAACAACGGCCCAUCGCAUAUUACAGUCAGGUAUUGUCGGCCAAAUCACAAUACAAAUCUGUCUACGAAAGGGAAUUGAUGGCAAUUGUGCUCGCUAUCCAAAAAUGGCGACAUUAUCUCCAGGGAAGAAAGUUCACAGUCCACACUGAUCAGCGCAGCCUUAAAUUCCUCCUUGAGCAGAGAGUCAUUCCUCUAGAAUUUCAGAAAUGGGUGACCAAGCUACUGGGAUAUGAAUUCAAGAUUCAGUAUAGACCGGGGAGAGAAAACAGAGCUGCAGACGCCUUGUCACGUGUCCCCAGCACAGUGGAACUAGCCGCCAUCACAAUUCCCAAGGUUAUUGAUGUCCAGUUGAUAAGCAAUCAGGUUAAAAAUGAUCCGUUACUCUCAAAGAUGAUGAAUGCUUUACAAGAAGACCCGGAUGCUUACCCCAGGUAUUUCGUCGAGCAAGGCAAGUUACUUUUCAAAGGUCGCCUUGCCAUUCCUCAAACUUCUCCCCUGAUUCCUUCUAUCUUGGAGGAAUUCCAUAGCAGCACCAUGGGGGGACACUCUGGGUUCCUACGGUCCUACAAAAGAUUGGCCAGCAAUCUCUACUGGAAAGGGAUGAAGAAAGAGAUUCGGAAGUUUGUGGAAGAAUGUGCGGUUUGUCAGCGAAACAAGUCUCUUGCCCUUUCUCCUGCCGGGCUCUUACAACCACUGCCAAUACCCAGUCAAAUAUGGGAAGAUGUCUCCAUAGAUUUUGUUGAAGGCCUCCCCACAUCUGGUGGAUACAAUGCCUUGCUGGUAGUGGUCGACCGACUGAGCAAAUAUGCCCACUUCCUCCUUCUGAAGCAUCCUUUCGUAGCCCCAGGGGUGGCAGCCCUCUUUGUUAAAGAAAUCAUACGGCUUCAUGGUGUUCCUAACUCCAUUAUCUCCGACUGGGAUAAGGUCUUCUUGAGCCAUUUUUGGAUGGAGAUUUUUCGCCUACAGGGAACAACUCUACGCCGGAGCACCGCCUACCACCCUCAAACGGAUGGGCAGACUGAAGUUAUCAACAGAUGCCUUGAAACAUUUCUUCGAUGUUUCUCCUAUGACAAACCUAAGAGCUGGUCCACUUGGGUUCCGUGGGCUGAAUAUUGGUACAAUACGACUUUUAACACUUCUACAAAUACCACUCCAUUUCGGGCUGUUUAUGGAAGGAACCCCCCGCCUCUGAUUCGUUAUGGUAGCCAAACCACUAAGGUACAAUCUGUUGAACAUCAGUUGCAGCAAAGGGAUUUAAUGUUGGAUGAACUGAAGGCUCAUCUUAGUCGUGCCCAAGAUAAGAUGAAGUUAGUAGCAGACCAACGUCGAAGGGAUGUUCAUUAUGAUGAAGGGGAUUUAGAAUAUGUCAAGCUACGUCCAUACCGUCAACGUUCUUUGGCAAAACGACCUAAUGAGAAGCUGGGGCCUAAAUACUUUGGCCCGUUUAAAGUGCUGAAACGCAUUAGACCAGUAGCCUAUCGUCUGGACUUGCCUCCCAGCGCAACAAUACAUCCGGUUUUUCAUGUAUCCCAAUUGAAGAAGGCCCUGGGAUCAAACACAGCGCAUCAAUUUCUUCCCCAGCAACUCACUGCUGACUUGGAAUGGAUUGUGGAACCAAAGCAAAUUUUGGACAUACGUCUUGCACAGUCAGGUCAACCUCCAGGGAAGUACUGGUACAAUGGAAAAGCCUGCCGACGACAGAAGCAUCUUGGGAAUCAGUGGACUCCAUCUUACAACACUUCCCCGACUUCCACCUUGAGGACAAGGUGUGUUUGGAAACCGGGGAUAGUGUUAGGCCCCCCGUCCACUUUACCUAUUCUAGAAGAUUCAAGAAGGGGGGAAAAUCAGUUGGCACAGGGGAUAACUAAAUUCUGUUUAGGAGCAUGUGGGGAGGGGAAUAAGUUUGUUAGAAACAGGUUAUAAAUAGGGGGGCUUAAGGUAAAGAUAGCAGGCAAUUAUUGAGUAAGGCAUAGGAGUCCCGUAUUAGUCCAUUUACUUGUAAUUUCUGCAAUAUAUCCGAAUUAAUUUCCAUUUCAGAUUGAGUGUUCUUUUGGAAUCCUAUCAGAUUCACGUGGUACUUUUUUCAGCAAGGAGAAUGCAAAAGGUUCAAAAAAUGGCAGCUUUUACCACAAAAUAUAUAACAGUUAAUUGCGGAC
This 5211-nucleotide long non-coding RNA is filed under the name Olea europaea (common olive). RNAcentral describes it as "long non-coding RNA (OEUR_LNC011385)". Lineage: Eukaryota; Viridiplantae; Streptophyta; Magnoliopsida; Lamiales; Oleaceae. The record is from RNAcentral.